Molecule: transfer RNA, 84 nt
Filed under: Eukaryota sp. BB2
Lineage: Eukaryota
Description: tRNA-Ser
Rfam family: tRNA
About the family: Transfer RNA (tRNA) molecules are approximately 80 nucleotides in length. Their secondary structure includes four short double-helical elements and three loops (D, anti-codon, and T loops).
Source: RNAcentral
GGAGGGAUCGCUUAAGUGGUUAGAGCGUUGGUUUGCUAACCAAGAUACGUUAGUAUCCUGAGGGUUCGAGUCCCUCUCUCUCCA